Molecule: ribosomal RNA, 253 nt
Filed under: uncultured bacterium
Lineage: Bacteria
Description: partial 16S ribosomal RNA
Rfam family: Bacterial small subunit ribosomal RNA
Source: RNAcentral
UACGUAGGGGGCAAGCGUUGUCCGGAUUUAUUGGGCGUAAAGAGCGUGUAGGCGGCCAGGUAGGUCCGUUGUGAAAACUCGAGGCUCAACCUCGAGACGUCGAUGGAAACCAUCUGGCUAGAGUCCGGAAGAGGAGAGUGGAAUUCCUGGUGUAGCGGUGAAAUGCGCAGAUAUCAGGAAGAACACCCGUGGCGAAGGCGGCUCUCUGGGACGGUACUGACGCUGAGGAGCGAAAGCGUGGGGAGCAAACAGG